RNAcentral lists this ribosomal RNA (924 nucleotides) under uncultured korarchaeote. RNAcentral describes it as "bacterial SSU rRNA". It matches the Rfam family "Archaeal small subunit ribosomal RNA", at positions 245 to 1168 of the family's 1478-position model. The record is from RNAcentral. Lineage: Archaea; Thermoproteati; Thermoproteota.
CGGCCCACCUAGCCUACGACGGGUACGGGCCCUGAGAGGGGGAGCCCGGAGAUGGGCACUGAGACAAGGGUCUAGGCCCUAAGGGGUGCAGCAGGCGCGAAGAUUCCGCAAUGCCCGAAAGGGCGACGGAGUGAACCCGAGUGCCACCCGCUGAGGGUGGCUGUUCCCCUGUGUAAAAAGCAGGGGGUAGAAAGGGGAGGGCAAGGCUGGUGGCAGCCGCCGCGGUAAAACCAGCUCCCCGAGGGGUUCCCACGCAUACUGGGCCUAAAGCGUCCGUAGCCGGCCCUGCAAGUCUGCAGUUAAAUCCGCCUGUAGACAGGCGGGCUGCUGCAGAUACUGCAGGGCUAGGGAGCGGGAGGAGCCGGGGGUAUUCCCGGGGGAGCGGUAAAAUGCGUAGAUCCCGGGAGGACCACCAGUGGCGAAGGCGCCCGGCUUGAACGCGUCCGACGGUGAGGGACGAAAGCUGGGGGAGCAAACCGGAUUAGAUACCCGGGUAGUCCCAGCCGUAAACGAUGCCGGCUAGGUGCUGGCCAAGGUUUCGGCCUUGGCCAGUGUCGAAGCGAAGGCAUUAAGCCGGCCGCCUGAGGAGUACGGCCGCAAGGCUGAAACUUGAAGGAAUUGACGGGGGGGCACCACAAGGGGUGAAUGCCUGCGGCUUAAUUGGACUCAACGCCGGGAAUCUUACCGGGGGCGACAGCAGGAUGAAGGUCAGGCUGAAGACCUUACCAGACGCGCUGAGGGGUGGUGCAUGGCCGUCGCCAGCUCGUGCCGUGAGGUGUCCUGUUAAGUCAGGCAACGAGCGAGACCCCCGCCCUCAGUUGCCAGCGGGGCCUUACGGCUGGCCGGGCAAACUGGGGGGACUGCCGGCGAAGAGCCGGAGGAAGGAGGGGGCUAUGGCAGGUCAGUAUGCCCCUAAUCCCCCGG